UACGAAGGGGGCUAGCGUUGCUCGGAAUUACUGGGCGUAAAGCGCACGUAGGCGGGCUAUUAAGUCGGGGGUGAAAUCCUGGAGCUCAACUCCAGAACUGCCUUCGAAACUGAUAGUCUUGAGUUCGGGAGAGGUGAGUGGAACUGCGAGUGUAGAGGUGAAAUUCGUAGAUAUUCGCAAGAACACCAGUGGCGAAGGCGGCUCACUGGUCCGGUACUGACGCUGAGGUGCGAAAGCGUGGGGAGCAAACAGG
This 253-nucleotide ribosomal RNA is filed under the name uncultured bacterium. RNAcentral describes it as "partial 16S ribosomal RNA". It matches the Rfam family "Bacterial small subunit ribosomal RNA", at positions 524 to 776 of the family's 1533-position model. The record is from RNAcentral.